CGGGUGAGUAAUGUCUGGGAAACUGCCUGAUGAGGGGGAUAACUACUGGAAACGGUAGCUAAUACCGCAUAACGUCGCAAGACCAAAGAGGGGGACCUUCGGGCCUCGCGCCAUCAGAUGAACCCAUAUGGGAUUAGCUAGUAGGUGAGGUAACGGCUUACCUAGGCGACGAUCCCUAGCUGGUCUGAGAGGAUGAUCAGCCACACUGGAACUGAGACACGGUCCAG
This 227-nucleotide ribosomal RNA is filed under the name uncultured bacterium. RNAcentral's name for it is "partial 16S ribosomal RNA". It matches the Rfam family "Bacterial small subunit ribosomal RNA", at positions 103 to 334 of the family's 1533-position model. The record is from RNAcentral.